AAAGAAGGUGGGGAAGCUGCUGGAGCCUUUAUUGGUGUUUCGGAUCUCACAAGAAUAACAAGCGAAUUGGACAUGCCGUUCUUGUUCCCCAAACUCCGGAGACAGGAGCAGAUGCUCUCCGAUAUGAAAAUCCGACUCAACCUCCUUCCAUAGUAGUUCCUUUCAUUGCACCUCCUUCGUCCCCUGCGUCAUUCUUUCUGUCAGAACCUCCUUCGGCAACCCAGUCGCCAACUGGCCUAUCAUUGCACACCUCUAUAUCAGCAAGCAUGUAUUCCCCCAGUGGGCCUGCAUCAAUUUUCGCUAUUGGUCCUUACGCAUAUGAAACCCAAUUAGUCUCUCCACCGGUCUUCUCAAC
Molecule: long non-coding RNA, 355 nt
Filed under: Olea europaea (common olive)
Lineage: Eukaryota; Viridiplantae; Streptophyta; Magnoliopsida; Lamiales; Oleaceae
Description: long non-coding RNA (OEUR_LNC008317)
Source: RNAcentral